Small nucleolar RNA from Gossypium arboreum, 107 nucleotides. It matches the Rfam family "Plant small nucleolar RNA R71". From Rfam's summary of the family: R71 is a member of the C/D box family of snoRNAs containing the C (UGAUGA) and D (CUGA) box motifs. NCBI's taxonomy places the organism in Eukaryota, Viridiplantae, Streptophyta, Magnoliopsida, Malvales, Malvaceae. The record is from Rfam.
AACCCAUGGUGAGGGCACCUUCUCAAUAAAUCCUUAUAUCUUUUCCAUGCAUCAUAUAGGGUCUCUAAGUUCAUCUGUACAAAAGAAGAGAUAUCAGUACAAAGGAA